This 521-nucleotide ribosomal RNA is filed under the name uncultured Gammaproteobacteria bacterium. RNAcentral's name for it is "bacterial SSU rRNA". It matches the Rfam family "Bacterial small subunit ribosomal RNA", at positions 523 to 1044 of the family's 1533-position model. Lineage: Bacteria; Pseudomonadati; Pseudomonadota; Gammaproteobacteria. The record is from RNAcentral.
AUACGAAGGGACCUAGCGUAAUUCGGAAUUACUGGGCGUAAAGCGCGCGUAGGCGGUUAAGUAAGUUAAUUGUGAAAGCCCAAAGCUCAACUUUGGAAUUGCAAUUAAAACUACUUAGCUAGAGUUUAUCAGAGGAAAGCGGAAUACAUAGUGUAGAGGUGAAAUUCGUAGAUAUUAUGUAGAACACCAGUUGCGAAGGCGGCUUUCUGGGAUAAUACUGACGCUGAGGUGCGAAAGUAUGGGUAGCGAAGAGGAUUAGAUACCCUCGUAGUCCAUACCGUAAACGCUGUCUACUAGCUGUUUGUGAAUUUAAUUCGUGAGUAGCGAAGCUAACGCGAUAAGUAGACCGCCUGGGGAGUACGGCCGCAAGGUUAAACUCAAAUGAAUUGACGGGGGCCCGCACAAGCGGUGGAGCAUGUGGUUUAAUUCGAUGCAACGCGAAGAACCUUACCUACUCUUGACAUACUAGAAACUUUUCAGAGAUGAAUUGGUGCCUUCGGGAAUCUAGAUACAGGUGCUGC